AUGCUUUUCCAUUUCAUUUGUCUGAUCGGCAAUGAGUCGUACGGCCUUGGAAGAGUGGCACAGGUGCUGAGGAGGCUCAACGGUCGUAGCGAGACGGCCUUGCACGGGGCGAUAUGGCAGGGAGACCUGUACAUGGCUGAGUUCCUGAUGCUGGUGGAUCCUGAGCUGGCCCAGUAUCCUCCACCUGGUCAGGGCACCUCACCGCUAUACCUAGCUGUCUCCUUGGGAUUCACAGACAUCCCACGGAUGUUGUACAGAAGAAGUGGCGGUAACCUGUCCUACUCCGGUCCAGAUGGACAGAACGCACUGCAUGCCGCGGCUCUCCAUGCCUACGAUAUGAUACAAACGCUGCUGAAUUGGGAUGAGGAACUUAGCAAAGGGAAUGACGGAAACGACAGCACCCCUCUUCACUAUGUGGUUUUGGCGCAGCGUGACCCAUUACUAUUUCGUAUAUAUGGCUUUCGUUUCCCCAACUUCUGGUUUCCGUGGGAAAAACAUGCAACAGGGCAAGUACUUCGGGCUAACACAUCUGCAGCGUGCCAGCCGGAUAAAAAUGGUUUGUUUCCUGUACACAUCGCUGCCUUGAUGAACAGGAAGACCGCCAUCCGUAUUCUGCUCAAAGAAUGCCCUCGUUGCAUCGGAUCUCGUGAUAACCAGGGAAGAUCCUUCCUUCAUACUGCUAUCCAGAACAAGAGUUCCCUUGUAGUGGGAUAUGCUUGCGGAGAAUCAAGUUUUGCAUCCAUAAUGAACGCUCAGGACAACGAUGGCAACACCGCGCUACACCUAGCUGUCGAUGUUGGGGAUCUAUCCGGCUUUUUUACUCUGCUGAGGAACCCAAAAGUAUUAUUAGAUAUCAGAAAUAACAAGGAUCAAACUCCUCUGGAUCUAGCAUGGAGUAAGAAGAACCGAACAGUUUUUUCGUACGGACGGAAUCCGGAUCGAGUGAUUUACUGGACCCUCCGACGUGCCGGUGCUAGGCCAAUGGAAAGUCAAGAGGACAAAGAGAUAAAGGAGGAAAAAGAGAAAGAAGAGUCGGCUAAAAUGACAGAUUCGACUCGGACAUUAGGCAUUGGCUCCGUACUCAUAGCUUCAGUGACAUUCACUGCAACUUUCACCGUACCUGCAGGAAUCAAAGCCAGUGACCAUACCACCAAUGGCACACCAGGAAUUCUUGGUACGUGGUAUUUCAAUGCGUUCAUGAUGGCCAAUACGCUGGCUUUCAUCUGCUCAUCCAUAGCGACUGUUGGCCUCAUGUUCGCCGGCAUGCCCCUGGUCAAAUUACCAAUCCGCCGCAGGCACUUUCUGGUAUCGGUCUUCUUCGCCUCGACUUCACUCACUUGUUUGAAUGUUGCCUUUGCACUAGGAGUAUAUAUGGUGCUGGCUCCAGUUGGUCUUAAGACUGCAAUUGCCAUAUGUGUCAUCACCCCACUUGUGCUGCUCUACAGGAAUGCAGAUAAUGUUCAUAAAAUGGUUAUUACUUCAUGGCUGAUAUAUGUCAGACGGGGGUUUAUCUUUGCAUGUUGUUCAUUAUACGCAGUAGUUAUCAACGGAUAA
RNAcentral lists this ribosomal RNA (1554 nucleotides) under Triticum aestivum (bread wheat). Its description in RNAcentral is "partial small subunit ribosomal RNA". The record is from RNAcentral. Lineage: Eukaryota; Viridiplantae; Streptophyta; Magnoliopsida; Poales; Poaceae.